AGGUUUGUGGCUUCAUGGCAAAGCACUUGCCUAGUGUGCAUGAGGCCCUGGGUUCGAUCCCCUGCAUGACAA
This 72-nucleotide transfer RNA is filed under the name Heterocephalus glaber (naked mole-rat). It matches the Rfam family "tRNA". Rfam says of the family: Transfer RNA (tRNA) molecules are approximately 80 nucleotides in length. Their secondary structure includes four short double-helical elements and three loops (D, anti-codon, and T loops). Lineage: Eukaryota; Metazoa; Chordata; Mammalia; Rodentia; Bathyergidae. The record is from Rfam by way of RNAcentral.